This 1224-nucleotide ribosomal RNA is filed under the name Torpedospora radiata. Its description in RNAcentral is "eukaryotic LSU rRNA". It matches the Rfam family "Eukaryotic large subunit ribosomal RNA", at positions 69 to 1278 of the family's 3401-position model. The record is from RNAcentral. Lineage: Eukaryota; Fungi; Ascomycota; Sordariomycetes; Torpedosporales; Torpedosporaceae.
AGGGUAUUGCCCCAGUAACGGCGAGUGAAGCGGCAACAGCUCAGAUUUGAAAUCCGGCGCUCGCGCCCGAGUUGUAAUCUGGAGAGGAAGCCUCUGGCGACGCGCCGCCCGAGUUCCCUGGAACGGGACGCCUUAGAGGGUGAGAGCCCCGUAAGGGACGGCGCCUAGCCUCUGUGAGGCUCUUUCGACGAGUCGAGUAGUUUGGGAAUGCUGCUCUAAAUGGGAGGUAAAUUUCUUCUAAAGCUAAAUACCGGCCAGAGACCGAUAGCGCACAAGUAGAGUGAUCGAAAGAUGAAAAGCACUUUGGAAAGAGGGUGAAACAGUACGUGAAAUUGCUGAAAGGGAAGCGCUUGUGACCAGACUCGCGCCCGGCGGAUCACCCAGCCUCGGCUGGUGCACUCCGCCGGGCCCGGGCCAGCACCGGUCCGGCCCGGGGGAGAAAGGCGGCGGGAACGUGGCCCUUCGGGGUGUUAUAGCCCGCCGCGCAAUGCCCUGGGCGGGACCGAGGCCCGCGCUCUGCAAGGGUGCUGGCGUAAUGGUCAUCAGCGGCCCGUCUUGAAACACGGACCAAGGAGUCGUCCUCGCAUGCGAGUGUUUGGGUGUAAAACCCCGGCGCGUAAUGAAAGUGAACGUAGGUGGGAGCCUCGGCGCACCAUCGACCGAUCCUGAUGUUCUCGGAUGGAUUUGAGUAGGAGCAUGCGGGGCCGGACCCGAAAGAAGGUGAACUAUGCGUGUAUAGGGUGAAGCCAGAGGAAACUCUGGUGGAGGCUCGCAGCGGUUCUGACGUGCAAAUCGAUCGUCAAAUAUGCGCAUGGGGGCGAAAGACUAAUCGAACCUUCUAGUAGCUGGUUUCCGCCGAAGUUUCCCUCAGGAUAGCAGUGUCGAGCUCAGUUUUAUGAGGUAAAGCGAAUGAUUAGGGACUCGGGGGCGCUAUUUAGCCUUCAUCCAUUCUCAAACUUUAAAUAUGUAAGAAGCCCUUGUUACUUAGUUGAACGUGGGCAUUCGAAUGUAUCGACACUAGUGGGCCAUUUUUGGUAAGCAGAACUGGCGAUGCGGGAUGAACCGAACGCGGGGUUAAGGUGCCAGAGUGGACGCUCAUCAGACACCACAAAAGGUGUUAGUACAUCCUGACAGCAGGUAAGCUCCCCUUUGGCCCUCGAGAGAGGCUCUUUUGCUAACUAGGUCGCAGGACGGUGGCCAUGGAAGUCGGAAUCCGCUAAGGAC